UGCGUAGGCGGUCGGCUAAGUCUGAUGUGAAAUCUCCGGGCUCAACCCGGAAACUGCAUCGGAUACUAGUCGGCUAGAGGAUUGGAGGGGGGACUGGAAUUCUCGGUGUAGCAGUGAAAUGCGUAGAUAUCGAGAGGAACACCAGUGGCGAAGGCGAGUCCCUGGACAAUUCCUGACGCUGAGGCACGAAAGCUAGGGGAGCAAACA
This 207-nucleotide ribosomal RNA is filed under the name uncultured bacterium. Its description in RNAcentral is "partial 16S ribosomal RNA". It matches the Rfam family "Bacterial small subunit ribosomal RNA", at positions 568 to 774 of the family's 1533-position model. The record is from RNAcentral.